CUGCCACGCUCUUGUCUUGAGGAUAAUGAACUGAACCUCUGAACCUGAUUCAGCCAUCAAUAAGGAUUCCUAUCUGCAUUAAAUGACACAAGAUGGCAGCCGAAGACUUCUUUGAGUGAAAAAGUUAGCUUCCCGGUGGUGCAGAUUGCUUUUGGUCAUAAUAUUGAACUCUGCAAUAGAAAGCAAAAUAGAAGAAAAUGGAUGAUUCAAGGACAAUUGCUUCCCCAGACAUGGGUGAGGACGUCUGGAAUCCGCAUCCCUGGGGCUCCCCCUCCUGCUUCCUGACCUGCUUGAGUUCCAG
This is a long non-coding RNA of Mastomys coucha (southern multimammate mouse), 301 nucleotides long. RefSeq lists it as uncharacterized. The transcript has 4 exons. The record is from RefSeq and is a predicted model, not a curated record. NCBI's taxonomy places the organism in Eukaryota, Metazoa, Chordata, Mammalia, Rodentia, Muridae.